CAAUAGCGUAUAUUAAAGUUGUUGCGGUUAAAAAGCUCGUAGUUGGAUUUCUGCUGAGGACGACCGGUCCGCCCUCCGGGUGAGCAUCUGGUUCGGCCUUGGCAUCUUCUUGGUGAACGUAUCUGCACUUGACUGUGUGGUGCGGUACCCAGGACUUUUACUUUGAGGAAAUUAGAGUGUUUCAAGCAGGCAUACGCCUUGAAUACAUUAGCAUGGAAUAAUAAUCUAGGACUUCGGUUCUAUUUUGUGGUUUCUAGUACUGAAGUAAUGAUUGAUAGGGAUAGUUGGGGGUGCUAGUAUUGGCCGGCCAGAGGUGAAAUUCUUGGAUUUAUGGAAGAUGAACUACUGCGAAAGCAUUUACCAAGGAUGUUUUCAUUAAUCAAGAACGAAAGUUAGGGGAUCGAAGAUGAUCAGAUACCA
Molecule: ribosomal RNA, 420 nt
Filed under: uncultured eukaryote
Lineage: Eukaryota
Description: bacterial SSU rRNA
Rfam family: Eukaryotic small subunit ribosomal RNA
Source: RNAcentral